Molecule: ribosomal RNA, 482 nt
Filed under: uncultured bacterium
Lineage: Bacteria
Description: partial 16S ribosomal RNA
Rfam family: Bacterial small subunit ribosomal RNA
Source: RNAcentral
AUUGAACGCUGGCGGCAUGCCUUACACAUGCAAGUCGAACGGUAACGGGCCUUCGGGUGCCGACGAGUGGCGAACGGGUGAGUAAUACAUCGGAACGUGCCCGAUCGUGGGGGAUAACGAGGCGAAAGCUUUGCCAAUACCGCAUACGAUCUACGGAUGAAAGCAGGGGACCGCAAGGCCUUGCGCGGACGGAGCGGCCGAUGGCAGAUUAGGUAGUUGGUGGGGUAAAAGCUUACCAAGCCGACGAUCUGUAGCUGGUCUGAGAGGAUGAUCAGCCACACUGGGACUGAGACACGGCCCAGACUCCUACGGGAGGCAGCAGUGGGGAAUUUUGGACAAUGGGCGCAAGCCUGAUCCAGCCAUGCCGCGUGCAGGAUGAAGGCCUUCGGGUUGUAAACUGCUUUUGUACGGAACGAAAAGCCUUCUUUUAAUACAGGGGGGUCAUGACGGUACCGUAAGAAUAAGCACCGGCUAACUACGUG